This 368-nucleotide ribosomal RNA is filed under the name uncultured organism. RNAcentral describes it as "bacterial SSU rRNA". It matches the Rfam family "Bacterial small subunit ribosomal RNA", at positions 526 to 896 of the family's 1533-position model. The record is from RNAcentral.
CGGAGGAUCCAAGCGUUAUCCGGAAUCAUUGGGUUUAAAGGGUCCGUAGGCGGUUUAGUAAGUCAGUGGUGAAGGCCCAUCGCUCAACGGUGGAACGGCCAUUGAUACUGCUAGACUUGAAUUAUUAGGAAGUAACUAGAAGUAUGUAGUGUAGCGGUGAAAUGCUUAGAGAUUACAUGGAAUACCAAUUGCGAAGGCAGGUUACUACUAAUGGAUUGACGCUGAUGGACGAAAGCGUGGGUAGCGAACAGGGAUUAGAUACCCUGGUAGUCCACGCCGUAAACGAUGGAUACUAGCUGUUGGGAGCAAUUUCAGUGACUAAGCGAAAGUGAUAAGUAUCCCACCUGGGGAGUACGGGCGCAAGCCUG